This 390-nucleotide RNase P RNA is filed under the name Pseudohongiella sp. RNAcentral's name for it is "RNase P RNA component class A". It matches the Rfam family "Bacterial RNase P class A". Rfam says of the family: Ribonuclease P (RNase P) is a ubiquitous endoribonuclease, found in archaea, bacteria and eukarya as well as chloroplasts and mitochondria. Lineage: Bacteria; Pseudomonadati; Pseudomonadota; Gammaproteobacteria; Pseudomonadales; Pseudohongiellaceae. The record is from RNAcentral.
CGAGUUGGCCAGACAGUCGCUGCCGUCAUCCGCUUUUGCAAUCGUGCAAUCGAUCGCAGAGGCCGCCGGUGGAGGAAAGUCCGGGCUCCGCAGAGCAGAACGCCAGGUAACGCCUGGGGGGUGAAAGCCCACGGAAAGUGCAGCAGAGAGUAGACCGCCGGUACGUCACUUCGGUGUCGAACCGGUAAGGGUGAAAGGGUGCGGUAAGAGCGCACCGCGCGACUGGUAACAGUUCGUGGCACGGCAAACCCCGUUCGGAGCAAGGCCAAAUAGGAACCCAAUGGUGUGGCUCGCACUGGGUUCGGGUAGGCUGCUUGAGGUCAGUAGUGAUACUGAUCCCAGAUGAAUGACUGUCCCCGACAGAACCCGGCUUAUCGGCUGACUCGUUUG